This 484-nucleotide ribosomal RNA is filed under the name uncultured organism. RNAcentral describes it as "bacterial SSU rRNA". It matches the Rfam family "Bacterial small subunit ribosomal RNA", at positions 28 to 507 of the family's 1533-position model. The record is from RNAcentral.
GAUGAACGCUAGCGGCAGGCUUAACACAUGCAAGUCGAGGGGCAUCACGGGUAGCAAUACCUGGUGGCGACCGGCGGAAGGGUGCGUAACGCGUGAGCAACAUGCCCUAUACAGGGGGAUAAUCCAGGGAAACUUGGUCUAAUACCCCAUUGGAUUUAUUGGUGGCAUCAUUGAUAAAUUAAAGCUUCGGUGGUAUAGGAUUGGCUCGCGUGACAUUAGUUUGAUGGUGAGGUAACGGCUCACCAUGGCGAUGAUGUCUAGGGGUUCUGAGAGGAAGGCCCCCCACACUGGGACUGAGACACGGCCCAGACUCCUACGGGAGGCAGCAGUGAGGGAUAUUGGACAAUGGAUGGAAAUCUGAUCCAGCCAUGCCGCGUGCAGGAAGACGGCCCUAUGGGUUGUAAACUGCUUUUAUACGGGAGCAAUAAGGUCUACGCGUAGACUGAUGAGAGUACCGUAUGAAUAAGCAUCGGCUAACUCCGUG